Molecule: ribosomal RNA, 386 nt
Filed under: Debaryomyces sp.
Lineage: Eukaryota; Fungi; Ascomycota; Pichiomycetes; Serinales; Debaryomycetaceae
Description: partial small subunit ribosomal RNA
Rfam family: Eukaryotic small subunit ribosomal RNA
Source: RNAcentral
AUUCCAGCUCCAAUAGCGUAUAUUAAAGUUGUUGCAGUUAAAAAGCUCGUAGUUGAACCUUGGGCUUGGUUGGCCGGUCCGCCUUUUUGGCGAGUACUGGACCCAACCGAGCCUUUCCUUCUGGCUAACCUUUCGCCCUUGUGGUGUUUGGCGAACCAGGACUUUUACUUUGAAAAAAUUAGAGUGUUCAAAGCAGGCCUUUGCUCGAAUAUAUUAGCAUGGAAUAAUAGAAUAGGACGUUUGGUUCUAUUUUGUUGGUUUCUAGGACCAUCGUAAUGAUUAAUAGGGACGGUCGGGGGCAUCAGUAUUCAGUUGUCAGAGGUGAAAUUCUUGGAUUUACUGAAGACUAACUACUGCGAAAGCAUUUGCCAAGGACGUUUUCAUCA